GCACCCAUAGCUCUGUGGUAGAGCAUCUACCUUGCACGCAAAAGGUCCUGGGUUCAAUUCCUGACGUCUCCA
Molecule: non-coding RNA, 72 nt
Organism: Podarcis lilfordi (Lilford's wall lizard)
Lineage: Eukaryota; Metazoa; Chordata; Lepidosauria; Squamata; Lacertidae
Source: the annotation of a GenBank genome assembly